CUUCUGUAUUGCGCACCCUUCUAACAAUCUUUAUCCAAACACUUGUGCACCUUUGAAAGAAGGGGGGAAACCUUCCCCUUCUUAUUUACAUACACCGCUUCUAUAAUGUCGAAUGUGAUCUUGUGCCUUUUCCUUUAAGGAGGGCCUGACUUAAUGUUAAUACAACUUUUAACAACGGAUCUCUUGGCUCUCGCAUCGAUGAAGAACGCAGCGAAAUGCGAUAAGUAAUGUGAAUUGCAGAAUUCAGUGAAUCAUCGAAUCUUUGAACGCACCUUGCGCUCCCCGGUAUUCCAGGGAGCACACCUGUUCGAGUGUCGUGAAAUUCUCAAGCUUAUAGAUGGUUUUUCAUCUUAGGCUUGGUUGUUGGGCUUUGCCGUGCCCCUCUUUAUUGAGGGAACAGCUGGCCUUAAAAGCAUUAGCUGACUCUCGUGUAGGAUUGGUUCUACUCAGCGUGAUAAUAAUUCUGACCGCCGAGGACAUCUUUCGGGAUGGCCAAUUCUUCUUUGGGUUGCUUCAAACUCUGGUUUACAGAUCUCUAUAUCUGUUCCACUAUCAAGUUUG
RNAcentral lists this ribosomal RNA (561 nucleotides) under uncultured Clavulinaceae. Its description in RNAcentral is "eukaryotic LSU rRNA". The stretch from base 164 to 317 matches the Rfam family "5.8S ribosomal RNA". Lineage: Eukaryota; Fungi; Basidiomycota; Agaricomycetes; Cantharellales; Hydnaceae. The record is from RNAcentral.